This 6968-nucleotide long non-coding RNA is filed under the name Salvia miltiorrhiza (redroot sage). Its description in RNAcentral is "long non-coding RNA (SMIL_LNC008208)". Lineage: Eukaryota; Viridiplantae; Streptophyta; Magnoliopsida; Lamiales; Lamiaceae. The record is from RNAcentral.
CUAGGACAUCAUGUCCAAAAGCCCAAAAGUAGAAGAUGCCACCCCAACCACCAGUCGGUGCACCCCCGGUGCAGCCACCUCCACCAAGGGAAGAGGACCCCAUUUGUAGUGCGGCCCUGAAAUAAUUGGAAGAAGUCUUGCGUCAGGCAUUGCCCUGGCACGCACUAACAACGAGGAGGGUGAGAUCUUGCGCCGAACACUCAAGGCUGCCGAAAUGGAAAAAGCCCUAGCACAUGAUGGCACUAGAGGGAGUAAGAUAAAGACUCCAGGCACGGCUAGUUGGAAGCCUGAAGGAUUUAGCCUCAUGUGGAUCGUUUCUCGGAUAUCUUAAUUCACCAUACAACGAUUAAUUCCUAACAUGCUCCUAUGAAUUUAAGUGCUGCACAUUGGAGUUAGAAUCACUUACUUGUGAAUUGGAUGCAGAGGUUGUCGAUGGCUGAAUCGAAUGACUCCAGUUCUGACCUUCUGAACUGUAUCCCCCUCAAUUCUCAAUAUUGGAUGGACAACGAACUAUGAGAAUUCCCAAGGAGAAUUCGGCCACCUCAAAGUCAGCGCCCCCUACUGCUCUCUCUAAAAACCCGUUUCCAGAGUUAGCCGAUUUCUCGCCAGAGUGGAGAUAACUUGCAGAGCACGAUUUUGAUGGACUUACCUUCUCUUACACGACUUUAUUUCCUUUAGAGUCCAACUUUACAUGGCAAGUUGAUGGUGAUUAGGAUUAGAAUGAGGUAUAUAAAUAGGGCCAUACUUUUCAUUGUAAAAUCAAUCCUUUUGCCUCCGGCACUUAGUUUACCUUAGUUCAAAAUCAAUCGUUUGCCCUAAUCUUUAGUUUCCGCUAGGCAGCCAAAGUUUAGUUUUUUAUUGCUUUCUUAGUCUUAAUUUCGAAUUAUGUUCUUAGUUAGUUUAUUAUAGUUCUUUCAAUUCAUGUUUUAGAUUAGUUCCCAUUUAAAGUUGUAAUUACGUGACAGAUUACAUCUCAAGACGUUUUACGGUAUUUCUUAAUCAAGUUUAUUUAUUUGCUUUUACUUGCUUUCUUUAAAUUAUGCACUUUAGAUUAUGCAAUUUAGGUUAUGCGUUUUUACGAUGCUUUCCUUUAAAUUAUGCAAUUUAGUUUUAUGCUCAUUAGAUUAGAAGCUUUUAAUUUACAAGUAUUUAAAUUCCUAGUUAGUAUUUAAAUUCCAAGUUCCUUUACUUUUAUUGCGUUUAAAUCUUGCCUAGGGUUUUAUAGUUUUUCGCCUAGAUAAUUUUAAGAUUAAGUUUUAGUUAAGUUUAAUUUACAAGCAUUAGUUAAUAAUUCCUUUUUGCCUAGUUAAUUCUUAAGUUUAAAUUCACGUUAAGUUUACUUUCCAAGUUUUAGUUUAAUAAUCUUUAGUUUACUAUUUACGUGUGACAUAAUUAAUUGCCCUUUAAGAUCUUCCUUGAGAGACGACAUUGGGUUAGCUUACCACUGCUAGAGUGUCCUUGUCCUAUUGCAAGUCAAUCUAGAGGUGUUCUAGUUGAGUCAGUCACAUGAGCGCAUAAUGUAUAGUCUUGAUUUAAUUAGUGAGUGAUUUGCUAAAUCAUAUUUUCCCUACACAUUUUACUACACAAAUAUUUACCAUUUAUUUUAUUAUUACUUUUAACCUAAGGUUGUUUAUUAAGCAAGUGGCCAAGUGGCCAAGUGGAUAAAGGAGCAUUUAAUGAGCAUUAAUUAAUCUUUAGCUUAUGGAGCAAGUUUAGAGCAUUAGACAAAACACUCUCUCUCUUCUCUCCCCCUCAUUUCGCCACCCUCCCUACUCUCUCUCCCUCUCACUCUUUUCUCUCUCUACCUCCAUUGUUAACCAAGUUCCAAGCUUCAUAGAUCAUUUCUAUGUUAUAAUCUCCACCAAAAUCAAAGUAUAAACUUCAUAAUCCUUGAAUCAAGAGCAACUUUGGAAUAUUUUAAAGCUUGAAGUCAAGAACGAGGAAUUUUAUUUUCUACUCAAGAAUCAUUGAGUAAGUGCUAGAUCUACUUAGAUCUAUAUAUUUGAGUUAGAUAUGAGUAUAUAUUGAUAGAUCAAGUAGAAAACAUCACCCACUUCAUUCUUGCAAUUUUCAAAAUUAGGGUUCAUACCCCUUCAAAAAUUCAUCAUCUAAUCUUAAAUUGAGAUUAUAUUCAUGCUAUUGAGAUCCUAUUUAGUCCAUUUUACAUGCAAAGCAUGAAUUUAAAAUGAUAAAUGAAUGUUUGAAUAAGUUAAUUACAUGAUCUAGAAAGGUUGAAGUUAUGGAUGAAUUGUUGAUUUGAUUAUGAAUAUGAGCUAGUGAGAGUGUUGAGAUGAUAUUUGAUGGACGAAAAUGAUGAUUAAAGGUGUUUGAUGAAGAUUGAAGUGAGUUAGUUUGAUGAAAAAUAGGGUAUAGUUGGCUAUAUGCUUGAUGAAGUUAGCAAGUUGAUGAGUUAUUUUGAAAACCUUUAAAAAGCUACUGACUUGAUGAAUUUCAACAGGGUUCUUGAUACCCAAAAAUCUUGAAACUUUUAUGGUGCGUAUAUCAGAGUGUUAAAAUGCAAAACGCCAAUUGCAACUUUCUACCGAAAGUUUGGAAGAACAGACCUUAGAGUCACCCUUUUCAGUAGCUUCCCCUAAUUUUUUGCUUGCCGACCUUUUAUGGUAAAGAGAUUAAUGUGUUGUCUAACUACCCACAAAAUUUCAAGUCAUUUCGGCAAUGUUUACUAUUUUUCAAAAAUCAAAUUCUCCAGUUGCACGAAACUGCCGAAUAUGGUAGACUGUGGGAGAACGGUCAUAUCUCUUAAACCACUUGGAGUUUUUCAACCUACUUUUUUUAAAAUGAAACUAGACUUCAAAGAGGUUUCCAAUAGUAUGAGUCUCGAACCCAGGAGAGUUCUGAGGAGAAACAGUUUAUUCUCUUAAGUUAAGGCAGUGCAGAAAGAGUGAAUUGAAUAAGAUUUUGAUUAUGAGAUGAGAUAUGAAUUAAAGAUGCCUAUAUGUGGCUUAGUGAAGAUGAAUUGAGCUUAUACAUGAAAAAUGUAAUAAAAUGGCAUAACUUGUUUAUGUGAGUUAAUUUUUGAAUAAUUGGUUUAAGAAUGAUUUAUAAAAUAGAUUUUUGGGAAAUUUCCCCGACUAAAAAUAUUUUAUUUUUUUUUUCAAAAAUGAGUUGUGUAUGUGAUUGCUAUGUGCUUAUGGAUUGUUUAUCUAUGAGUUGUUCCUUGACAGAGCCUAGACCUAAAUUAGGUGAUAAGUCGAGAAUAGAAUAGUGAUUACUUAGAAAGUGUUUACGAUAUGAGAUCGAGUCAGACGGAGUGUAGAAAUGAGAAGUAAUGAAAUAAUACUAAGAUAGAAUGAUAUUCUUAGUAAGGAAGUUUCUGACAUCCUUUAUUUAACCAUGAACUAAUCCCAUGGAAUUUGAAGAUACCAGAAGAGGACGGAAGUAAGUCCACCCCGAACGCUACGAGAGUAAGCUAAGGACAUCAGGUGGGCAUUAUUUUUACUAUACGUAUAUAGAGAUCCCCUGCGUAUCGUAGGCCUCUUAUACGAAAUGAAGUAAAUGAUGUGAUUUAACUGUAAAUUUCAGUUUGAUGAAAAUUAUUACUGAUGAUGAUGUUUAUGAGUUUGAUAAAUAAUUUGAGAUUUAUUGAUGUUGAACUAAUUGACUUGCCGAGUUUUGAUGACGACGAGCCUGUAUGUCACCCUCUACUGAUGAGACGAAUUCGGAUCCUGCCACAAGCGGGAUUGUGUACACAGAGGUGAUCGUGAGCUGUCCUUUGGGUCGGCCGGUCACGGUACUUGAGAAGGAGGCCUACUUCUCAGUACCUUUAUGAUGAUGAUUUGUAGAUGUGGUACAUACAUAACGAGAAUUUUGACCGGUCAUUUAUUUAUGAUGUUUAUGAUUGUUAACUGCUUACACGGGUUCUUUUGAGUAAAAUCCCCGUGUAUUGCUUAUGUGGCAAGUUCAAUCUAUAGCUCUAAGAGCUAGUUUUCAUUGAUUUUCGGCUUAUGUCCACUGAGUAUUCUGUACUCAGCCCUGCAUGUAUUUCUAAACGUGCAGGAUAAGCGAGGAGGGAGAUUGGACUGGUGCUGGCAGGGAUUUUGUUUCAGAUAAUCUUCAUUAUACCGUAAUUAUAUUCCUUGCGGUAACAUCAAGAUGUUGAAGUUUAUUUUGAACUUAAUCAAGAAAUUUACUCUCGGCUAUAUGUCUUCAUACAUAUAGUCUUUUCGUAUUUUGCUGCGAUACUCUGUAUAUCCCGAGUCAUUGUGAGUAAUUAGCUAUGUCUACUUUGUAAAGGUUGACAAGAAUCUCAAUAAUUUAAAAGUUAUAAAGCCAAUAAUAUUUUUAUUGAUGAUGAUGUCAUCUUUCUUGAUUUAUCACGUUUCAGUGAUUGCUUCCGCUUGACGUGCAAUCUAGUUUUGUCUUUUGACCUUAUUAAUAUAUUUAGUCGUAUCGAUACCCGGUUUACGCUAUCACUGGCUAGGCGUCGGGCUGCGACAUAUUCUUAUUUUACUUUUAAUAUGUGUUUCUUGAUUGUGCAAAGAAUUUGAGUUUUAUUGCAACACGAUUGUAAGUAUGUAAAACGUGAUUUGUCCGGUAGAUGCUAGAAGGAGUGUUGUCAUUGUGAUUGCCUACGAUCGUAUCCUUAUCUGUGAAUAAUGCUGGACGAAUUGCCAUUUCUAAAAAUGUCAGCUCUGAAACAUAUGGCCAGCUCUGAAACGUGACAGCUCUGAGUCUCUGCUCCUCUGGUCUAACUAUGAGCAUGGGAAACCACGUGAAAAGACUUUGGAUUACAUCCAAAUGGUUUUUAUUUCAUGAAUUAUGGCUCAACUGUCCAAAAACUUAAGCACACAAAGUGUAAAAAAAAUGGUGAUAUUGAUUAUAAAGGCGAUCACAUUAGGGAAUUCACUUCUAGCGGAGAAUUGGGUAUGAUCGAAUUACUUGCAUUACUGUUUUGUUGCUUCGUAAACUUUAAGUUACUUGCAUGAUCAAGAGAUGUGUGUUGAUUGUAAAAUUUUGAAUUGACUUUGUGAAUGUUUGGAUGGAAAUAAGCAUCGUUGAAAUCAAUCUCUUCCUAAGAUUCAUAUUGAUUUUGCUUGAGGACAAGCUGAUUUAUGCUUAAUUGUUCUAAAUUUUGGGGUUUGCAUGUACUUUUUAAGUUAAAUCUUCUGAAAUGGUGCGUUUUAUGGUUAUUUUAUGCUUUUCGGAGAUUUAGUUUCGAGAUGAAAGUGCAAAUUUUGGAGAUUUGGGCUAAGAAUUACGUUUUUGUGCAUGCUCUGGCACGUCAGAGAAGUGAAGCCCCGCAUGCCAGAGCAGCGAAAAGGGAAGCCAGAGAAAUGCUCCAGAUCCAGAGAAGUCAUUCGCCAGAGCAGCGAAAUCACUAGUCAGAGAAGUCAUAAGCCAGGCCAGAGAAAUCAAUAUCCAGUGCAGCGAAAUCGAAAACGCCAGAGGAAUAUAAGCGCCAGCGGAAUCGCCAUCAGAGAAACCGGAGCCAGAGCGGAACCGUUCCUGGCGAGAGCCCGAUUUCCGCCAGGGUGGAGAUUAUUUCAGAGCGCGCGACACAGCUGGAAGUUGCCUUUCUUCACGAUUCUAUUGCCUUUAGAGUUCUACUUUGCAUGGCAACUUCCAUGGUGAUCCAUAGGGAUUCGAAGUCUAUAAAUAGGGCCAUACUUUUCAUUGUAAGAUCAUCGCUUGCCCUAGUUUUAGACGCCAUCUUUGCGAUCUGUUGGCAUCCGAAGCUUAGGAUUUACUUGCUUUCAUAGUUCUUUAUAGUUUUCAGAUUCAUUGUUUUAAGUUAGAUUUCAAUUCAGUUUUUAGUUUAUUCUUGGAUUGUGAUUGAGUGACACAAUUACAUGUUCAAGACGUUUACGGUAUUUCGUAUUUCAAUUCAAUUUAUUUCGUUUAAUCAUGUUUACGUUUUUCAUUCAAGUUCAUGCUUUCUUUUUAAUUAUGCAAUUUAAAUUAUGCACUUUAGUUUCACGCCUAGAUUAGAAGUCUUUAAAUUUACAAGUAUUUAAUUUCUUAAGUUAGGUUUAAUUUGAGUUGUUUAAAUUCUUGCCUAGGUUAAGUUUAAAUUCAAGUCAAGUUUAAUUUAAGUUUAAGUUUCAGUUUUUAAAUCAAAAUCUUUACUGCUUCCUUUUAUUGCUUUUUCCUACGAUACUACUAAGAGCCCUUAAAGACUUUCCUUGAGAGAUGACAUUGGGUCAACUUACCAUCACUAGGAUGUCCUUGUUCUAUUGCAAGUCAACUUAGAGGUGUUUCUAGUUGAGUCACAAGCAAAAGGCUAAGUGUGGGGGGUUGAUCAUGUGCAUAUUUAAGUUGAAUCUUCUGGAAAUUUGUGCGUUUUAUGGUUUGUUUUAUGCUUUGCAGGAGAUUUAGGUUUUAUAGAUGGAAGAGUGUAAUUUUGGAGAUUUUGGGUUUAGAAUGGCGUUUUUAAGAACACUCUGGUGUACAGAGCUGAAAAGCCCACGCCAGAGCUGAAAAGCCGCGCCAGAGCUGAAAAGCCCGCUGCAGAGCAGAGCAGAGAAGCUCGCCAGAGCAGAGCNUAGUUUUUAUUGAUUUUCGGCAUAUGUCCACUGAGUAUUCUGUACUCAGCCCUGCAUGUAUUUCUAAACGUGCAGGAUAAGCGAGGAGGGAGAUUGGACUGGUGCUGGCAGAGAUUUUGUUUCGGAUGAUCGUCAUUAUACCGUAAUUAUAUUCCUUGCGGUAACAUCAAGAUGUUGAGGUUUAUUUUGAACUUAAUCAAGAAAUUUACUCCCGGCUAUAUGUCUUCAUACAUAUAGUCUGUUCGCAUUUUGCUGCGAUACUCUGUAUAUCCCGAGUCAUUGUGAGUAAUUAGCUAUGUCUACUUUGUAAAGGUUGACAAGAAUCUCGAUGAUUUAAAAGUUAUAAAGCCAAUAAUAUUUUUAUUGAUGAUGAUGUCAUCUUUCUUGGUUUAUCACGUUUCAGUGAUUGCUUCCGCUUGACGUUCGAUCUAGUUUUCUCUUUUUACCUUAUUAAUUUAUUUAGUC